UACAGAGGGGGCAAGCGUUGUUCGGAAUUACUGGGCGUAAAGGGCGCGUAGGCGGCCGCCUAAGUCAGACGUGAAAUCCCCGGGCUCAACCCGGGAACUGCGUCCGAUACUGGAAGGCUUGAAUCCGGGAGAGGGAUGUGGAAUUCCAGGUGUAGCGGUGAAAUGCGUAGAUAUCUGGAGGAAUACCGGUGGCGAAGGCGGCAUCCUGGACCGGCAUUGACGCUGAGGAGCGAAAGCUAGGGGAGCAAACGGG
This 253-nucleotide ribosomal RNA is filed under the name uncultured bacterium. Its description in RNAcentral is "partial 16S ribosomal RNA". It matches the Rfam family "Bacterial small subunit ribosomal RNA", at positions 524 to 776 of the family's 1533-position model. The record is from RNAcentral.